Molecule: long non-coding RNA, 215 nt
Filed under: Gossypium barbadense (sea-island cotton)
Lineage: Eukaryota; Viridiplantae; Streptophyta; Magnoliopsida; Malvales; Malvaceae
Description: long non-coding RNA (GBAR_LNC016384)
Source: RNAcentral
GAUCGAAGCAACAAGACGUAGCAGGCUGGAAUAAGGCUACUUGAAGAAGAGAAGCACCCAAAGAAGUCAAGCCUCGGCGAGACCAGGCAAAUUUGGUCUUUCUUAGUCUUUGCUCGGUUCUCGUUACACGAAAACGAGCAAAGAGGGGCAGCUGUAGAAGCCCAAAUUUGCUGGGCCCAUUGUCCAAAUAAAAUAAAAUACAACAAACCCAAAAU